GGACUACUGGGGUAUCUAAUCCUGUUUGCUACCCACGCUUUCGUGUCUCAGCGUCAGAAAUGGUCCAGUAAGCUGUCUACACCACAGGUGUUCCUCCUGAUAUCUACGCAUUUCACCGCUACACCAGGAAUUCCGCUUACCUCUCCCAUCCUCUAGCAUUCCAGUUUUCGCCGCACCCUCCCAGUUAAGCCGGGAGAUUUCACGACAAACUUAGAACACCGCCUACACACUCUUUACGCCCAGUAAUUCCGAACAACGCUUGCUGCCUACGUAUUACCGCGGCUGCUGGCAC
This 292-nucleotide ribosomal RNA is filed under the name uncultured Acidobacteriota bacterium. RNAcentral's name for it is "uncultured Acidobacteria bacterium partial 16S ribosomal RNA". The record is from RNAcentral. Lineage: Bacteria; Pseudomonadati; Acidobacteriota.